AAAAUGGCGUUGAAGGGGCUAAUGCCGGCCCAUACAGUCUUCAGAGAGGGUAUUGAUUCGGUGCAAAAUACCUGACUGCAUCCCGGUGAAGCCACCCCGGAGCUUUUGGCGGUGAGCCAAACGUAUUUGCGGCGUUAACGCAGGGAAAGCGGCGGUCUGUAGAGACCGCAAACCGGGUGGUACCACGGAAGCGAUCAGCCUUCGUCCCUGUA
RNAcentral lists this non-coding RNA (212 nucleotides) under Subdoligranulum variabile. RNAcentral describes it as "T-box sequence". It matches the Rfam family "T-box leader". From Rfam's summary of the family: Uncharged tRNA acts as the effector for transcription antitermination of genes in the T-box leader family. The record is from RNAcentral. Lineage: Bacteria; Bacillati; Bacillota; Clostridia; Eubacteriales; Oscillospiraceae.